This 460-nucleotide ribosomal RNA is filed under the name uncultured bacterium. Its description in RNAcentral is "partial 16S ribosomal RNA". It matches the Rfam family "Bacterial small subunit ribosomal RNA", at positions 338 to 795 of the family's 1533-position model. The record is from RNAcentral.
CCUACGGGAGGCAGCAGUGAGGAAUAUUGGUCAAUGGACGCAAGUCUGAACCAGCCAUGCCGCGUGCAGGAAGACGGCUCUAUGAGUUGUAAACUGCUUUUGUACGAGGGUAAACGCAGAUACGCGUAUCUGUCUGAAAGUAUCGUACGAAUAAGGAUCGGCUAACUCCGUGCCAGCAGCCGCGGUAAUACGGAGGAUUCAAGCGUUAUCCGGAUUUAUUGGGUUGAAAGGGUGCGUAGGCGGUCGGAUAAGUUAGAGGUGAAAUCCCGAGGCUCAACUUCGGAAUUGCCUCUGAUACUGUUCGACUAGAGAGUAGUUGCGGUAGGCGGAAUGUAUGGUGUAGCGGUGAAAUGCUUAGAGAUCAUACAGAACACCGAUUGCGAAGGCAGCUUACCAAGCUACUUCUGACGUUGAGGCACGAAAGUGUGGGGAGCAAACAGGAUUAGAUACCCCUGUAGUC